AAAUCUAAAUUUUUCUUACGGAGGCAGCAACUGAGUAUCGCGUGAAGAGAUACAUAUAGAUCUUCUUAUACGGCCAAUAAAUAAAUUGU
Octopus sinensis (East Asian common octopus) is the source of this 89-nucleotide long non-coding RNA. RefSeq lists it as uncharacterized. The transcript has 3 exons. The record is from RefSeq and is a predicted model, not a curated record. NCBI's taxonomy places the organism in Eukaryota, Metazoa, Mollusca, Cephalopoda, Octopoda, Octopodidae.